This 380-nucleotide ribosomal RNA is filed under the name Trichodesmium erythraeum R-L11. RNAcentral's name for it is "bacterial SSU rRNA". It matches the Rfam family "Bacterial small subunit ribosomal RNA", at positions 398 to 794 of the family's 1533-position model. Lineage: Bacteria; Bacillati; Cyanobacteriota; Cyanophyceae; Oscillatoriales; Microcoleaceae. The record is from RNAcentral.
CGCGUGGGGGAGGAAGGCUCUAGGGUUGUAAACCUCUUUUCUUUGGGAAGAAGAUCUGACGGUACCAAAGGAAUAAGCCACGGCUAAUUCCGUGCCAGCAGCCGCGGUAAUACGGAGGAGCAAGCGUUAUCCGGAAUUAUUGGGCGUAAAGCGUCCGCAGAUGGCCAUGUAAGUCUGCUGUCAAAACCCAGGGCUCAACUCUGGUCAGGCAGUGGAAACUACAAAGCUUGAGUGUGGUAGGGGCAGAGGGAAUUCCCGGUGUAGCGGUGAAAUGCGUAGAUAUCGGGAAGAACACCAGUGGCGAAAGCGCUUUGCUAGACCAAAACUGACAUUGAUGGACGAAAGCCAGGGGAGCGAAAGGGAUUAGAUACCCCAGUAGU